Molecule: ribosomal RNA, 491 nt
Filed under: uncultured bacterium
Lineage: Bacteria
Description: partial 16S ribosomal RNA
Rfam family: Bacterial small subunit ribosomal RNA
Source: RNAcentral
AGUGAACGCUGGCGGCAUGCCUAACACAUGCAAGUCGAACGGCAGCACAGUAAGAGCUUGCUCUUACGGGUGGCGAGUGGCGGACGGGUGAGGAAUACAUCGGAAUCUACUUUUUCGUGGGGGAUAACGUAGGGAAACUUACGCUAAUACCGCAUACGACCUCCGGGUGAAAGCAGGGGAUCUUCGGACCUUUCGCGAUUGAAUGAGCCGAUGUCGGAUUAGCUAGUUGGCGGGGUAAAGGCCCACCAAGGCGACGAUCCGUAGCUGGUCCGAGAGGAUGAUCAGCCACACUGGAAGUGAGACACGGCACAGACUCCUACGGGAGGCAGCGGUGGGGAAUAUUGGACAAUGGGCGCAAGCCUGAUCCAGCCAUACCGCGUGGGUGCAGAAGGCCUUCGGGUUGUAAAGCGCUUUUGUUGGGAAAGAAAAGCAGCAGGUUAAUACGCCGCUGUUCUGACGGUACCGAAAGAAUAAGCACCGGCUAACUUCGU